This 20-nucleotide small nuclear RNA is filed under the name Arabidopsis thaliana (thale cress). RNAcentral describes it as "snRNA_19262". Lineage: Eukaryota; Viridiplantae; Streptophyta; Magnoliopsida; Brassicales; Brassicaceae. The record is from RNAcentral.
UCUCUGCUUUGAUGAAAGCU